RNAcentral lists this long non-coding RNA (496 nucleotides) under Olea europaea subsp. europaea. The record is from RNAcentral. Lineage: Eukaryota; Viridiplantae; Streptophyta; Magnoliopsida; Lamiales; Oleaceae.
CAACUUUUAAGGGUAUAUCUCACAUUUUCUUCAUGCUCGAUUGCAGGUUUUGAAUUAGGGUGAAACCAUUGAGUUACAUGGAUGCAAAUUAUCAUGCAGCUGCUUGAAAAAGCAGGAAGUCAUUACCAGAAAGAGUGGUUUUUUAUAUGGUUUGGUGACUUCUGCAUCUUAAUUGGGUGCUAUCCUACUGAGCUUUUCUACUCCUUUCUUUCUUUCUUUGUCUGACUUGUGUGUUCUUGACCUUGUAAGACCUUUUCUUGACCUUGUAAGACCUCAUGCCGUGUCUUUUCUUUUUAUUUUGUGUCGUUUUUCAAUUUUUACAGCAGAAUUUUCUGAUGUAGGAUUGGUUGUUCUCCUUCUCCGUUUCCACCCAACUCACUUUCUCCUUUCUUGUCUAUCCCUCCUGAGCUAUUUCGUAUAAAGUAUUCAUAAGCUAAUGCUAUGUAGUAUAUAUUCUUCUGGUAUGGCCAACCGUGUUAGACAGGCAGAAAGCCUG